UACAGAGGGUGCAAGCGUUAAUCGGAAUUACUGGGCGUAAAGGGUGCGUAGGUGGUUGAAUAAGUUAGAUGUGAAAGCCCUAGGCUUAACCAAGGAAUAGCGUCUAAUACUGUGCGACUAGAGUACUGUAGAGGGGAGUGGAAUUUCCGGUGUAGCGGUGAAAUGCGUAGAUAUCGGAAGGAACACCAGUGGCGAAGGCGGCUCUCUGGACAGAUACUGACACUGAGGCACGAAAGCGUGGGGAGCAAACAGG
This 253-nucleotide ribosomal RNA is filed under the name uncultured bacterium. RNAcentral's name for it is "partial 16S ribosomal RNA". It matches the Rfam family "Bacterial small subunit ribosomal RNA", at positions 524 to 776 of the family's 1533-position model. The record is from RNAcentral.